This 492-nucleotide ribosomal RNA is filed under the name uncultured bacterium. RNAcentral's name for it is "partial 16S ribosomal RNA". It matches the Rfam family "Bacterial small subunit ribosomal RNA", at positions 29 to 507 of the family's 1533-position model. The record is from RNAcentral.
AGUGAACGCUGGCGGCAGGCCUAACACAUGCAAGUCGAACGGCAGCACAGUAAGUGCUUGCUCUUACGGGUGGCGCGUGGCGGACGGGUGCCUUAUACAUCGGAUUCUACUUUUUCGUGGGGGAUAACGUAGGGAAACUUACGCUAAUACCGCAUACGUCCUACGGGUGAAAGCACGGGAUCUUCUGACCUUUCGCGAUUGUAUUAGCCGAUUUCGCAUUAGCUAGUUGGCGGGGUAAAGGCCCACCUAGGCGACGAUGGUUAGGUGGUAUGAGAGGGUGAACAGCCACACUGUAAGAGAGACACGGCCCACACUCCUAGGGGGAGACGCAGUGGGGAAUACUACGGAAGGGAGGAAAGCGUGAUCUAGGAAAACCGCGUGAGUGAUGAAGGAGUUAGGGUUGGAAAGCGAUGUUGUUGGGAAAGAAGAAAAGCACGUUCAGCUGCGAAGAUAAUGACGGUACCAAAAGAAUAAGCCCCGGCUAACUCCGUG